AUGACCACAUUACACAAAAAUCUCCAGCCUUUCCCAUUGUUUCUUUCCCACUUACUUCUGUGCUUUCAGUGCAGGCAACCAGCGUUAAAUACAAUUAUUUGGGAGUAAGUAAGAACAUUUUAUUCCCAAAGCUAUCUGACUUAUGUUGCAUUAAAAUAAAUACCUAAAUUUAAGUCAAGUUAGACCCUUAAGAAUAUAAUACUUAGGAUCUCCUAAAACUGACGUGUGUGCUAUUGUCAGCUGCAAUCCUUUCUUGCCCUCUGUGCCCCACUCACACUGGCUGCCCGGGGUCCCUGGGGGCUGCUCGAGGUUUGGCUGUGCAUUCAUUAGCUCCUCAUCCCUGGCAGGGGCCUCUCUCUGCUGCCAGUCAGGAGCUUUCACUCAGUCACCCUUAACCACACACUUAAAUCCAGACCAGAUUUGUUGCUCCAGUUCCCUGUACUGGUGUAGCUCAGUAAAUAAUGAAGCGUGAUGCUGGUCAAACUUUCAAGCAGUCAAAUUAUCCUGUCGGUGUCUGGGGGCACUACAACUAUAUUUUACAAAAACCUUAACUGCGAAUAAAAUAUGGAGAAGAGCCUCAGAAAAUAGUGCUGACUGCUGUAGUAAACCAUAAGAAAAUUCAAGAAACUGGAAGAAAAACAGAUUGGAACUUGAAAAAGGGUCAAGUGGGAGAUGCUACACUUACACAGAUGUGUUCAACUCAACAAAAAGAGAACUGGAAAUGACGAUUUGAAAAUAAUUUUGAGUACAUGGAGACAGGGAAUCUACCAAAACCCAGGCCACACUUGAGUAAAGAUCAUGCUGCCACAACCAAAAAAUGAGAGACUGACAUCACCCUUGGAUGUGUGAAGCAGAGCACAGCCUGACAGAAACAUGAGAUAUCUGUUCUCAGUGUCUGUAAGACUUUAGAUGGAAUACUGAGCCUACGGAACUGAUAAUGCCAUUUCAAUAAAUACGGCAUCUCAAAGUGACAUAGAGGAGAGCAAGAAGAGGCAGGGGUCUUCAAAAGACUGCAAGAGCCAGACCUAACUUUUUUUUAUUUUAAAAAAAAGUUCAAAUAAAUGUGCACUACACUUACUGUUGCAAAAAGGAUUGGUAUUAUCCGUUUAUCAGUGACACAUCCAUCGGGGAGGAGCACAAUUCCCAGGUUUAACAUUUAAGCAAAUUGUCAGUGGACUGGAAAGAAAGAGGGAAGGCAACUUGACAACAUCCUGCUGACCCAAAACUGGAGAAGUCUGUUCUACCUUUCAAAGCUCUUGAGACACAUUUUGACUGCUGUUUCUGCUCAAAUAUAAAAUAAAUCCUAGGAGACUACCAAGAUUGGUUUCUGGCUGUGUGCAAAAGAAAAGUUAUUUCAAUGACAGAAUGCAGUGUCCACACAGGUCACUGCGAAAGGCUGGGGAAAGUGUGGUUUUGAGGGCUUUUGGGACCCAUCUGGGCAAACCUCCUACAACAUUGUCUGCUUUCAUAGUUUGCCAUUCUCUGUGAUGGAGGUCAGACCAGAGAACUCCUGGGAUCCCUCCCCACCUUUGUGACUGGGCUAAUUCUAUGGAUUCACCUUCCCUUGAGGUUACCAGCCUUGGAGGUGACUUCUAACUGGAAGAGAAGCCCAUUUGCAAGAGGAUGCUCGAUGGGUCAGUGGGUACCACGAGGGCCCUGUCUGAGGUAAGUAUUUCAGGAACAGCCAUCUCUGCCCUCAGGUGUGUCCAGGCAGAGACUUGUCUGGACACAAGGCAGUGACCAGAGGCUGCCUUCAAGCUUGGAGGCUCUCCAAGGCCAC
This is a non-coding RNA of Cyanistes caeruleus (blue tit), 1780 nucleotides long. The record is from RefSeq and is a predicted model, not a curated record. Lineage: Eukaryota; Metazoa; Chordata; Aves; Passeriformes; Paridae.